This is a long non-coding RNA of Schistocerca cancellata (South American locust), 836 nucleotides long. RefSeq lists it as uncharacterized. The record is from RefSeq and is a predicted model, not a curated record. The transcript is spliced from 3 exons. Lineage: Eukaryota; Metazoa; Arthropoda; Insecta; Orthoptera; Acrididae.
AUUUGCGUAUACUAUAUAAGAUAUUAAAACAUAAUUAAGGUUGCAUAUUAAAUUGAUAUAACUUAUCUUAGUAAAGCAUUUGAUGUCGUACCACUGUACGUAAAAGUUAACUCUUCUGCACUUGUCCUGAAUCAAUCAGAAGACCUGCACUGAACAGAAUUAGAUCAAGUUCGCAGUUCUCGAAUCCAGGCACAAAUGACUGAUGCCAAAAGCAACACUGCACAUGUAGUAUAACACAAGUCCCGAAAUCUAAUAGCAAAAUGACGAGGACGCGGAGAAACGAGUGAUGAUGUUUUCAAGCAUAAGCAUUGUGCACAAUCUAUCAGAAUGGCCAGAGUCCGAAAACUGAUCCACUCACACACGUAAUAUUGUAAUCUGGAAGAGUCGGGAAGUACCCUUCGAUACUCCUCAGUAGCUUUCAGAGUGUGGAUGUAGACUUAGAUGCAGAUGUAGAUGCAGUCAGUCACAUUUCGGAUUUUGCAGUUGAAGAUAACAUGGAAGACAUUGCCCAACAAUCACCACGAAAGUUUGACGAAGUGGCAAGUGGGCAAGGAAUAAAACGAAUGCUGCAAACUACCGUGAGCUGUGGAAGAGACCGGGCCGCGAGGGCGUCGAGCUUCCAAGGUCAUUGUCGGACGACGUCAAAGGAAGAGAUAUUCUGCUUUCUCUUUGUAAACAGAUCGAUCGAGUCUCGAAAGGUUCAUGUAAAACGUGUAGGCGGGUGACACAUUAGGUGGGACCCGAUGCCUGUAAUACUUCCACAGUUAUUAAAAAGGUGUUAAACGGCAAAACCAAUAGUUCAUUAUUUAUAUAGAUAAAAAGUAGUAAAGAUAUAG